This 575-nucleotide ribosomal RNA is filed under the name Russula sp. RNAcentral describes it as "SSU rRNA". It matches the Rfam family "Bacterial small subunit ribosomal RNA", at positions 360 to 973 of the family's 1533-position model. Lineage: Eukaryota; Fungi; Basidiomycota; Agaricomycetes; Russulales; Russulaceae. The record is from RNAcentral.
AAUAUUAGUCAAUGCUCGAAAGAGUGAACUAGCUACUGAAUCAAUUAAAAUAAUUGAUAACAUAAGGGAAAAUAAUGAUAUUACCUUAUUAUUAGUGUCGUCCAAAUCUGGUGCCAGAAGACUCGGUAAGGCCAGAGACAUAAACGUUAAUCGUCUUAAUCAGGCGUAAAGGGUUUGUAGGCGGCUUUAAAAUUUACUUAUAAAAAAUAAAAUAAAUAAAUAAUAAGUAAAGAAUAAAAGCUAGAAUCAAAUAGAGGAUAUAUGAAAGAAUGCUUAGAGUAGGUCUGAUAUCCUUAGAUACUAAGUAGAAUAUUAAAGGCGAAAGCUUUUUUCCAUUAAUGAUUGACGCUCAGAAACGAAGGUGAGGAUAGGAAAUAGGAUUAGAUACCCAGAAUACCCCUCUCUGUCAACGAUGAAUGGUAGUUAUUAGUAAAAAUUUAUUAAUGGCAAUGUUAACACGAUAACCAUUCCGCCUUGUGAGUACAACUGCAAAGUUGAAAACAAAAAAAUUAGUCGGUUUCGGAGCAAACGAAGUGAAGCAUGUUAUUUAAUUCGAUAAUCCGCAAAGAUGAAAA